AGGAUGAACGCUGGCGGCGUGCUUAACACAUGCAAGUCGAACGAUGAACCUCACUUGUGGGGGGAUUAGUGGCGAACGGGUGAGUAACACGUGAGUAACCUGCCCUUAACUCUGGGAUAAGCCUGGGAAACUGGGUCUAAUACCGGAUAUGACUCCUCAUCGCAUGGUGGGGGGUGGAAAGCUUUUUGUGGUUUUGGAUGGACUCGCGGCCUAUCAGCUUGUUGGUGAGGUAAUGGCUCACCAAGGCGACGACGGGUAGCCGGCCUGAGAGGGUGACCGGCCACACUGGGACUGAGACACGGCCCAGACUCCUACGGGAGGCAGCAGUGGGGAAUAUUGCACAAUGGGCGGAAGCCUGAUCCAGCAACGCCGCGUGAGGGAUGACGGCCUUCGGGUUGUAAACCUCUUUCAGCAGGGACGAAGCGCAAGUGACGGUACCUGCAGAAGAAGCACCGGCCAACUACGUGCCAGCAGCCGCGGUAAUACGUAGGGUGCGAGCGUUGUCCGGAAUUAUUGGGCGUAAAGGGCUCGUAGGCGGUUUGUCGCGUCGGGAGUGAAAACCAGGUGCUUAACACCUGGCUUGCUUUCGAUACGGGCAGACUAGAGGUAUUCAGGGGAGAACGGAAUUCCUGGUGUAGCGGUGAAAUGCGCAGAUAUCAGGAGGAACACCGGUGGCGAAGGUGGUUCUCUGGGAAUGACCUGACGCUGAGGAGCGAAAGUGUGGGGAGCGAACAGGAUUAGAUACCCUGGUAGUCCACGCCGUAAACGUUGGGCACUAGGUGUGGGGGACAUUCCACGUUUUCCGCGCCGUAGCUAACGCAUUAAGUGCCCCGCCUGGGGAGUACGGCCGCAAGGCUA
Molecule: ribosomal RNA, 858 nt
Filed under: uncultured bacterium
Lineage: Bacteria
Description: bacterial SSU rRNA
Rfam family: Bacterial small subunit ribosomal RNA
Source: RNAcentral